CGUACACUCCUGCGGGAGGCAGCAGUGGGGAAUAUUGCACAAUGGGCGCAAGCCUGAUGCAGCCAUGCCGCGUGUAUGAAGAAGGCCUUCGGGUUGUAAAGUACUUUCAGCGGGGAGGAAGGCGAUAAGGUUAAUAACCUUGUCGAUUGACGUUACCCGCAGAAGAAGCACCGGCUAACUCCGUGCCAGCAGCCGCGGUAAUACGGAGGGUGCAAGCGUUAAUCGGAAUUACUGGGCGUAAAGCGCACGCAGGCGGUCUGUCAAGUCGGAUGUGAAAUCCCCGGGCUCAACCUGGGAACUGCAUUCGAAACUGGCAGGCUAGAGUCUUGUAGAGGGGGGUAGAAUUCCAGGUGUAGCGGUGAAAUGCGUAGAGAUCUGGAGGAAUACCGGUGGCGAAGGCGGCCCCCUGGACAAAGACUGACGCUCAGGUGCGAAAGCGUGGGGAGCAAACAGGAUUAGAUACCCGUGUAGUCCCAUGA
Molecule: ribosomal RNA, 479 nt
Filed under: uncultured organism
Description: partial 16S ribosomal RNA
Rfam family: Bacterial small subunit ribosomal RNA
Source: RNAcentral